Molecule: long non-coding RNA, 1168 nt
Filed under: Carica papaya (papaya)
Lineage: Eukaryota; Viridiplantae; Streptophyta; Magnoliopsida; Brassicales; Caricaceae
Description: long non-coding RNA (CPAP_LNC002938)
Source: RNAcentral
GUAGUUUGGAUAAUUUUUUCAUUUUCAAAAUAGAAGUACACGAAUAAUUAUUAUUUAUUAUUAUAUAUAAUUCAUUUUAUUAUUAUUGUUUUCUUUCUUUUUUAUGAACGGAACACAAAGGGAGAACUAAUUUCUCCUUGGACACGCGGUACUCGGUCGUCGGAGUCACCACACACAUAGCCACGCACGUCAUUGAAGUUGCCAUGUGCCGUUGCACGCACCACCAUCGGGUUCAGUACGCUCUGCUGCACGCACCGUCACGCUUUGACCGUAAACACCAUAGAAACCUCCUGCACUUGCCAAAGUGAACAGGAGAGGCAAGUUGAGGCUGCGUUGCGCACAUAUUUGGAAGGAUCGUGUGCAAAUUCUUCGUGCCAAGCACUAGAAGCGGAUUUGUUUUCCUUCGGGCAGAUCUAAGCUAAUGCACCAACCUUUUGUUUUCGAUCGUGGGCAACUGUGCUCCUUAUGCUCAAAUCCAGUCGGCACACACACAGAUCUGUCUUGUCGCUCGCCACAGCUUCGAUCUUCUUCUAUAGUCAGUCGACCACAUCUCUUUUCCUAUUCUUCUUCUUCAUUUUUUCUUGAUCUUCUUUUUCUUAUUCAUCUUCUUACUUUUUUCUUUUUUUCUUUUCCUUUCUCCGUUGCCUGACUCUCCUUUGGGUUUAAAACUUCCCCUUAUUUAUUUAUUACAUUUUUUUUUGUCAUUACAUUAAUUAUCUUGAUCUCCUACGUAAAUAUUCCAUUUAUAAUUUAAUUCUACCGUAUAAGAUAUGGACAGAGGUUUAACAUUUGAUUAGAGAGAUGAACUCUUAAUGAGUUGCUCAGUCGUGUUGUCUCUAAGCAACUACUAUCAAGCUCUUUAACCUAAUCAAACUUCCUUUUUUGUAAGUAUCAUAUGAACUCAUGAGAAAAUAUAUAUCUAAUAAUGAUUAAUUCAAGCCAAAAGGUUGUGUUGAAAGUGAAAACUAGGAGAUGCGCUUGAUAAUGGGGAUUGAAAAUAGGCCUGUAAAUAACAAUCAGCGGAUUAUGAAGAUGUAAGGCAAGAGAGAAUUAAAAAGAACAAUGAGCCAGUUAAAGAAGAGGCAAUGUUGCCUUUAUGUGUGUAGUAGUUGUGUGCUUCUAGCACAUAAUUUUGUUGGAGUUGAAACAUUUAAAAAUAAUAAUAAUA